AUUGAACGCUGGCGGCAGGCCUAACACAUGCAAGUCGAGCGGAUGAAGGGAGCUUGCUCCUGGAUUCAGCGGCGGACGGGUGAGUAAUGCCUAGGAAUCUGCCUGGCAGUUGGGGAUAACGUCCGGAAACGGGCGCUAAUACCGCAUACGACCUGAGGGAGAAAGUGGGGGAUCUUCGGACCUCACGCUAUCAGAUGAGCCUAGGUCGGAUUAGCUAGUUGGUGGGGUAAAGGCCUACCAAGGCGACGAUCCGUAACUGGUCUGAGAGGAUGAUCAGUCACACUGGAACUGAGACACGGUCCAGACUCCUACGGGAGGCAGCAGUAGGGAAUAUUGGGCAAUGGGCGAAAGCAUGAAACAGCCAUGCCGCGUGUGUGAAGAAGGUAUUCGGAUUGUAAAGCACUUUAAGUAGGGAAGAAGGGCCGUAAGUUAAUACCUUCAUGUUUUGACGUUACCAAAUGAAUAAGCACCGGCUAACUUCGUG
Molecule: ribosomal RNA, 484 nt
Filed under: uncultured bacterium
Lineage: Bacteria
Description: partial 16S ribosomal RNA
Rfam family: Bacterial small subunit ribosomal RNA
Source: RNAcentral